This 377-nucleotide ribosomal RNA is filed under the name uncultured eukaryote. RNAcentral describes it as "partial 18S ribosomal RNA". It matches the Rfam family "Eukaryotic small subunit ribosomal RNA", at positions 592 to 976 of the family's 1831-position model. The record is from RNAcentral.
CAAUAGCGUAUAUUAAAGUUGUUGCAGUUAAAAAGCUCGUAGUUGGAUUUCGGGGCAGCCUGGCUGGUCCGCCGCAAGGCGAGUACUGGUCAGCCGCCCUUCCUCUCGAAAGCCCCGACUGCUCUUUACUGUAGCGGUCGGGUAGUUCGGGACGUUUACUUUGAAAAAAUUAGAGUGUUCAAGGCAGGCCUACGCCUGAAUACAUUAGCAUGGAAUAAUGGAAGAGGACCUCGGUCCUAUUUUGUUGGUUUCCAGGGCCGAAGUAAUGAUUAAGAGGGACAGUUGGGGGCAUUCGUAUUUAAUUGUCAGAGGUGAAAUUCUCGGAUUUAUGAAAGACGAACAACUGCGAAAGCAUUUGCCAAGGAUGUUUUCAUUAA